Sardina pilchardus (European sardine) is the source of this 622-nucleotide long non-coding RNA. RefSeq lists it as uncharacterized. Lineage: Eukaryota; Metazoa; Chordata; Actinopteri; Clupeiformes; Clupeidae. The record is from RefSeq and is a predicted model, not a curated record. The transcript has 5 exons.
AAUAGAUUGAAGGAGCUGCAACCAAAACUCAGCUUUGAUGCUCGGAUUUAACAUUUAAAGGGUGAGAUGAGUCAUCAGAAGCAAGUCGUAAUAGAUAACACGGCAGGUGACGAUGAGGACACAUUUUUUGAGCACGAGCAGACAUCGAUGUUUAUGACAUGGGUACUGUCAACCACUCUGACCAAGAAAAAACUGUACUACUUCCUGUCAGUGCUAGCCUGCCUAUUCCAGGCGGCCAUGCUGGCAUCAGAUAUUGUGUAUCACUUUCUUUUAAAAAACCAUCGCUUCCCCAGCCACAAGCACACAGAGGGCAUACUGAUUAUCCAGGUUGUGACUUUCUACUGGUCAUUACUAGCCUCAGUGUACUCCCUUCAAGCAGGAAAUCGCAGAAUGGGCUACUUAUCUUUGGCAUCAGUCCUUCUUAACCUAAGCGUUUUUUGCCUCCGGUUCGGUUAUGAGUUCAUCAUGAUGAGGUUCAGAGCAGAGGAAUACUGAGACGAACUGGCUCGGAGGACUAUUAUAGGACUGCCUGGUCAACUCUCUGAAUCCAUGCAAGCCACAAUCACUGUCCACACAGUGAUAAACACAAUAAACAUCUACACCCAAGGCACUGUGCACAUUC